Molecule: small nuclear RNA, 107 nt
Organism: Gracilinanus agilis (Agile Gracile Mouse Opossum)
Lineage: Eukaryota; Metazoa; Chordata; Mammalia; Didelphimorphia; Didelphidae
Source: RefSeq, a predicted model, not a curated record
GUACUUGCUUUGGCAGCACAUAUACUGAAAUUGGAAUGAUAAAGAAAAGAUAAGCAUGGCCCCUGCCCAAGGAUGACACACAAAUUUGUGAAGAAUUCCAUAUUAAA